This 355-nucleotide ribosomal RNA is filed under the name Coryphaena hippurus (common dolphinfish). Its description in RNAcentral is "partial 12S ribosomal RNA". It matches the Rfam family "Bacterial small subunit ribosomal RNA", at positions 1024 to 1527 of the family's 1533-position model. The record is from RNAcentral. Lineage: Eukaryota; Metazoa; Chordata; Actinopteri; Carangiformes; Coryphaenidae.
CUCUCGCAUAUCAGCCUAUAUACCGCCGUCGCCAGCUUACCCUUUGAAGGACUAACAGUAAGCACAAUUGGUACAACCCAAUACGUCAGGUCGAGGUGUAGCCUAUGAGAAGGGAAGAGAUGGGCUACAUUCACUAACAUAGUGAAUACGAAUAGUAUAUUGAAACAUAUACUUGAAGGAGGAUUUAGCAGUAAGCAGAAAAUAGAGUGUUCUGCUGAAGCCGGCUCUUAAGCGCGUACAUACCGCCCGUCACCCUCGCCAAGCCCUACCAAUUAUUUUUUCUAAAUCACUUAUAAAGCUAAGGAGAGGAAAGUCGUAACAUGGUAAGCGUACCGGAAGGUGUGCUUGGAUAAUC